UUAUACCCCUUAGAUCAUGGCACUUGGAAUGAGCUAUGGUUCAAAGUUCCGGCGCUUAAGGAUCGUUCUUCGGCCUAUCAGUUAGUAUUGGGUGUAAAGUACCUACUAGCCUAUGACGGGUAUGGGCCUUGAGAGAGGGAGCCCAGAUUUGGAUUCUGAGACACGAAUCCAGGCCCUACGGUGCGCAGCAGUCGCGAAAACUUCACACUGGGGGCAACCCCGAUGAGGGAAUUCCUAGUGCUAGCUCUUUUUGAGUUAGCUUUUCUUUAGCGUAGAUAACUAAAGGAAUAAGGGCUGGGUAAGACGGGUGCCAGCCGCCGCGGUAAUACCUGCAGCCCAAGUGGUGGCCGAUAGUAUUGAGUCUAAAACGUUCGUAGCCGGUCUGAUAAAUCUUUGGGUAAAUCGGGAAGCUUAACUUUCCGACUUCCGAGGAGACUGUCAGACUUGGGACCGGGAGAGGCUAGAGGUACUUCUGGGGUAGGGGUAAAAUCCUGUAAUCCUAGAAGGACCACCGGUGGCGAAGGCGUCUAGCUAGAACGGAUCCGACGGUGAGGGACGAAGCCCUGGGGCGCAAACGGGAUUAGAUACCCCGGUAGUCCAGGGUGUAACGCUGCAGACUUGGUGU
This 625-nucleotide ribosomal RNA is filed under the name uncultured archaeon. Its description in RNAcentral is "bacterial SSU rRNA". It matches the Rfam family "Archaeal small subunit ribosomal RNA", at positions 147 to 774 of the family's 1478-position model. The record is from RNAcentral.